Molecule: ribosomal RNA, 480 nt
Filed under: uncultured Alphaproteobacteria bacterium
Lineage: Bacteria; Pseudomonadati; Pseudomonadota; Alphaproteobacteria
Description: bacterial SSU rRNA
Rfam family: Bacterial small subunit ribosomal RNA
Source: RNAcentral
GAGAUGUGGGUUAGUCCGCACGAGCGCACCCUGAUCUUCAGUUGCCAUCAUUUAGUUGGGCACUCUGGAGAGACUGCCGGUGACAAGCCGGAGGAAGGUGGGGAUGACGUCAAGUCCUCAUGGCCCUUAUGGGCUGGGCUACACACGUGCUACAAUGGCGAUGACAGAGAGUUAAUCUCAAAAAGUCGUCUCAGUUCGGAUUGUCCUCUGCAACUCGAGGGCAUGAACGUGGAAUCGCUAGUAAUCGCGGAUCAGCAUGCCGCGGUGAAUACGUUCCCGGGCCUUGUACACGCCGCCCGUCACACCAUGGGAGUGGGUUGCAAAAGAAGUGGCUAGUCUAACCUUCGGGAGGACGGUCACCACUUUGUGAUUCAUGACUGGGGUGAAGUCGUAACAAGGUAGCCCUAGGGGAACCUGGGGCUGGAUCACCUCCUUAAACGCAAAGCCACCCGGCUAGCGCUCACAACGAAUUACUUGAUU